UAGGGAAUCUUCGGCAAUGGACGAAAGCCUGACCGAGCAACGCCGCGUGAGUGAAGAAGGUUUUCGGAUCGUAAAACUCUGUUGUUAGAGAAGAACAAGGACGUUAGUAACUGAACGUCCCCUGACGGUAUCUAACCAGAAAGCCACGGCUAACUACGUGCCAGCAGCCGCGGUAAUACGUAGGUGGCAAGCGUUGUCCGGAUUUAUUGGGCGUAAAGCGAGCGCAGGCGGUUUCUUAAGUCUGAUGUGAAAGCCCCCGGCUCAACCGGGGAGGGUCAUUUGAAACUGGGAGACUUGAGUGCAGAAGAGGAGAGUGGAAUUCCAUGUGUAGCGGUGAAAUGCGUAGAUAUAUGGAGGAACACCAGUGGCGAAGGCGGCUCUCUGGUCUGUAACUGACGCUGAGGCUCGAAAGCGUGGGGAGCAAACAGG
RNAcentral lists this ribosomal RNA (429 nucleotides) under Gemmatimonadota bacterium. Its description in RNAcentral is "Gemmatimonadetes bacterium partial 16S ribosomal RNA". It matches the Rfam family "Bacterial small subunit ribosomal RNA", at positions 355 to 776 of the family's 1533-position model. Lineage: Bacteria; Pseudomonadati; Gemmatimonadota. The record is from RNAcentral.